This 348-nucleotide unclassified non-coding RNA is filed under the name soil metagenome. RNAcentral describes it as "partial contains 5.8S ribosomal RNA, internal transcribed spacer 2, and large subunit ribosomal RNA". The stretch from base 1 to 120 matches the Rfam family "5.8S ribosomal RNA", at positions 35 to 154 of the family's 154-position model. The record is from RNAcentral.
GAUGAAGAACGUAGCAAAAUGCGAUAAGUAAUGUGAAUUGCAGAAUUCAGUGAAUCAUCGAAUCUUUGAACGCACAUUGCGCCCGCUGGUAUUCCGGCGGGCAUGCCUGUUCGAGCGUCAUUUCAACCCUCAAGCCCCCGGGUUUGGUGUUGGGGAUCGGCUCUGCCCUUCUGGGCGGUGCCGCCCCCGAAAUACAUUGGCGGUCUCGCUGCAGCCUCCAUUGCGUAGUAGCUAACACCUCGCAACUGGAACGCGGCGCGGCCAUGCCGUAAAACGCCAACUUCUGAAUGUUGACCUCGGAUCAGGUAGGAAUACCCGCUGAACUUAAGCAUAUCAAUAAGCGGAGGA